UGAGUACGAGAUGCUACGGCGUCGAAGCAGUCUAGGUCAUACCUCCAAGAAAAGUUUGCACUGUCAUAAACAAAGAAUGCCUGUACCAUAACCGACACAGGUGGGUAGGUAGAGUAUACUAAGGGGCGCGAGAUAACUCUCUCUAAGGAACUCGGCAAAAUGACUCCGUAACUUCGGGAGAAGGAGUGCCUUAUUUUUAAGGUUGCAAUAACAAGAUCCAAGCAACUGUUUACCAAAAACACAGGUCUCCGCUAAGUCGUAAGACGAUGUAUGGGGGCUGACGCCUGCCCAGUGCCAGAAGGUUAAAGAAGUUGGUUAGCAUUUGCGAAGCUGAUAACUGAAGCCCUGGUGAACGGCGGCCGUAACUAUAACGGUCCUAAGGUAGCGAAAUUCCUUGUCGGGUAAGUUCCGACCCGCACGAAAGGCGUAAUGAUUUGGAUACUGUCUCGGAGAGGGGCUCGGUGAAAUAGACUUGUCUGUGAAGAUGCGGACUACCUGCACCUGGACAGAAAGACCCUAUGAAGCUUUACUGUAACUUGAGAUUGAAAUUGGACUUUAUUUGCGCAGUAUAGGUGGGAGGCGUUGAGAAUAAUCUUGCGGGAUUAUCGGAGCCAUCAGUGAGAUACCACUCUUGUAAUGUUAGAUUUCUAACUUUGUAUCAUUAUCUGGUCAAAGAACAGUUUCAGGCGGGCAGUUUGACUGGGGCGGUCGCCUCCCAAAGGGUAACGGAGGCGCACAAAGGUUUCCUCUGAACGGGUAGAAAUCGUAUCUAGAGUGUAAAGGCAUAAGGAAGCUUGACUGUGAGACCUACAAGUCGAGCAGGGACGAAAGUCGGUCUUAGUGAUCUGACGGUGCUGAGUGGAAAGGCCGUCACUCAACGGAUAAAAGUUACUCUAGGAUAACAGGCUGAUCUCCCCCAAGAGUUCACAUCGACGGGGAGGUUUGGCACCUCGAUGUCGGCUCAUCGCAUCCUGGGGCGGUAGUACGUCCCAAGGGUUGGGCUGUUCGCCCAUGAAAGCGGUACGCGAGCUGGGUUCAGAACGUCGUGAGACAGUUCGGUCCAUAUCCGGUGUAGGCGUUGGAAUAUUGAAAGGAGCCUUCUCUAGUACGAGAGGACCGAGAAGGACAUACCUCUGGUGUGCCAGUUAUCGUGCCAACGGUAAACGCUGGGUAGCUAUGUAUGGAGUGGAUAACCGCUGAAAGCAUCUAAGUGGGAAGCCCACCUUAAGAUAAGUAUUCU
RNAcentral lists this ribosomal RNA (1240 nucleotides) under metagenome. RNAcentral describes it as "bacterial LSU rRNA". It matches the Rfam family "Bacterial large subunit ribosomal RNA", at positions 1564 to 2814 of the family's 2925-position model. The record is from RNAcentral.